AGGACGAACGCUGGCGGCGUGCUUAAAACAUGCAAGUCGAACGGGGACCAUGGAGUCGCAAGACUCCGGAAGUCCGAGUGGCGAACGGGUGCGUAACACGUGAGGAACCUGCCCCAGAGACCGGGAUAACCCCUCGAAAGAGGAGCUAAUACCGGAUGUGCUCAUCGGAUCACCUGGUCUGAUGAGGAAAUGGAUUCCGCUCUGGGAUGGCCUCGCGGCCUAUCAGCUUGUUGGUGGGGCAACGGCCUACCAAGGCGACGACGGGUAGCUGGUCUGGAGAGGGACGAGUCAGCCACACUGGGACUGAGACACGGCCCAGACU
RNAcentral lists this ribosomal RNA (322 nucleotides) under uncultured soil bacterium. RNAcentral describes it as "bacterial SSU rRNA". It matches the Rfam family "Bacterial small subunit ribosomal RNA", at positions 26 to 337 of the family's 1533-position model. The record is from RNAcentral.